This 404-nucleotide ribosomal RNA is filed under the name uncultured bacterium. RNAcentral's name for it is "bacterial SSU rRNA". It matches the Rfam family "Bacterial small subunit ribosomal RNA", at positions 355 to 776 of the family's 1533-position model. The record is from RNAcentral.
UGGGGAAUAUUGCACAAUGGGGGAAACCCUGAUGCAGCGACGCCGCGUGAGUGAGGAAGUAUUUCGGUAUGUAAAGCUCUAUCAGCAGGGAAGAAAAUGACGGUACCUGACUAAGAAGCCCCGGCUAACUACGUGCCAGCAGCCGCGGUAAUACGUAGGGGGCAAGCGUUAUCCGGAUUUACUGGGUGUAAAGGGAGCGUAGACGGAUAAGCAAGUCUGAUGUGAAAAUCCGGGGCCCAACCCCGGAAUUGCAUUGGAAACUGCAUAUCUAGAGUGUCGGAGAGGCAAGUGGAAUUCCUGGUGUAGCGGUGAAAUGCGUAGAUAUCAGGAGGAACACCAGUGGCGAAGGCGGCUUGCUGGACGAUGACUGACGUUGAGGCUCGAAAGCGUGGGGAGCAAACAGG